Molecule: ribosomal RNA, 468 nt
Filed under: uncultured bacterium
Lineage: Bacteria
Description: partial 16S ribosomal RNA
Rfam family: Bacterial small subunit ribosomal RNA
Source: RNAcentral
GACGAACGCUGGCGGCGGGCUUAACACAUGCAAGUCGAACGGAAAGGCCCUGCUUUUGUGGGGUGCUCGAGUGGCGAACGGGUGAGUAACACGUGAGUAACCUGCCCUUGACUUUGGGAUAACUUCAGGAAACUGGGGCUAAUACCGGAUAGCAGCUCCUGCUGCAUGGUGGGGGUUGGAAAGUUUCGGCGGUUGGGGAUGGACUCGCGGCUUAUCAGCUUGCUGGUGGGGUAGUGGCUGACCAAGGCUUUGACGGGUAGCCGGCCUGGGAGGGUGACCGGCCACAUGGGGACUGAGGUACGGACCAGAGUCCUACGGGAGGCAGCAGUGGGGAGUAUUGCCCAAUGGGCGGGAGCCUGAGGAAGCAACGCCGCGUGCGGGAUGACGGCCUUCGGGUUGUAAACCGCUUUCGCCUGUGACGAAGCGUGAGUGACGGUAAUGGGUAAAGAAGCACCGGCUAACUACGUG